CAUGAUUGUUAUUUUUGAUUUAAGUAAUAUAGUUUUCUCUUAUUUCUUUUAUGUUUUUACAGGUAUGAAGAGAAGAAGGCUAAUAAAGAACUAUCAAAGUCCUAAAAAAUCCCUCAAAGAUGUUGAAAAUGCUAGACUAGUGUCAUCCCCUAAUGCAAGAGGAAAUGAUCAUAUCUCAAUUUUCAAUUUUAUCCAAUUCUUAAAGUGUCAUCCCCUAAUAUUGUUUUUUCUUAUUUUUUUAUAUUAUUGCAGGUAUUAAAAGGAGAAGGCUUGUACAAUUUGAAGAGGAAGAAGAUGAACAUAUUGAACCGAAUGUUUUAUAUGCUAGAGAAAAUGUUCAUCUCUCAAAUGAUGAAAAUGUUAUGUUGGCACGAGAAAAAAGACAUCUUCCAAGUCAUUUUAGGUCAACAUCUUCUAAAGGCACGAGUCAACAAGAACAUAUAGCUCAAAGUUCAUCCAUUCAAAAUGAAGUUCAUAGUCAUAGCCUAUCAGAUGCUGAUUUUCUUAAUAAUGAAGAGGUAAAUGGAGUUGCUAUUUCUAGAAAGAAGUGGAACACCACAUGGUUUGUUAUUGUUGUAGG
Arachis duranensis is the source of this 580-nucleotide long non-coding RNA. RefSeq lists it as uncharacterized. NCBI's taxonomy places the organism in Eukaryota, Viridiplantae, Streptophyta, Magnoliopsida, Fabales, Fabaceae. The transcript is spliced from 3 exons. The record is from RefSeq and is a predicted model, not a curated record.